UUAAAUGUCCUCUGUGUUUGAUUAAUUGGAACCAUACAGAGAAAGAUUAUCAAGUCCUCCACACAAGGAUGACACACUCAAAUCAAUAGAUGGUUCAAACUUUA
RNAcentral lists this small nuclear RNA (104 nucleotides) under Amborella trichopoda. Lineage: Eukaryota; Viridiplantae; Streptophyta; Magnoliopsida; Amborellales; Amborellaceae. The record is from RNAcentral.